This 22-nucleotide microRNA is filed under the name Ornithorhynchus anatinus (platypus). RNAcentral's name for it is "Oan-Mir-1421-P12_3p* (star (passenger))". Lineage: Eukaryota; Metazoa; Chordata; Mammalia; Monotremata; Ornithorhynchidae. The record is from RNAcentral.
UGCAUCAUGCGUGACCUCCCUA